RNAcentral lists this ribosomal RNA (468 nucleotides) under uncultured bacterium. RNAcentral describes it as "partial 16S ribosomal RNA". It matches the Rfam family "Bacterial small subunit ribosomal RNA", at positions 28 to 507 of the family's 1533-position model. The record is from RNAcentral.
GACGAACGCUGGCGGCGUGCUUAACACAUGCAAGUCGAACGGAAAGGCCCUGCUUUUGUGGGGUGCUCGAGUGGCGAACGGGUGAGUAACACGUGAGUAACCUGCCCUUGACUUUGGGAUAACUUCAGGAAACUGGGGCUAAUACCGGAUAGGAGCUCCUGCUGCAUGGUGGGGGUUGGAAAGUUUCGGCGGUUGGGGAUGGACUCGCGGCUUAUCAGCUUGUUGGUGGGGUAGUGGCUUACCAAGGCUUUGACGGGUAGCCGGCCUGAGAGGUGGACCGGCCACAUGGCGACUGAGAGACGGCCCAGACUCGUACGGGAGGCAGCAGUGGGGAGUAUGGCACAGUGGGCGGAAGUCUGAGACAGAAACGCCGCGUGCGUGAUGACGGCUUUCGGGUGAUAAACCGCUGUCGCCGGUGACGAAGCGGUAGUGACGGUAAUGAAUAAAGAAGCACCGGCUAACUACGUG